AUUGUUCCUCUCUUUGAGAAAACUCUUAGUGCCAGUGACGCCGGUCGCAUCGGUCGCCUAGUCCUUCCAAAAGCCUGUGCAGAGGCAUACUUUCCUCCCAUUAGUCAAUCAGAAGGCAUACCUCUAAAAGUCCAAGACGUGAGGGGGAAGGAGUGGACCUUCCAGUUCAGAUUCUGGCCCAAUAACAACAGUAGAAUGUAUGUCUUGGAAGGUGUCACUCCCUGCAUACAGUCCAUGAGGCUACAAGCUGGUGAUACAGGUACUGUUUUUUACCUUCAUAAUGCCUCGGUGAAAUUAAUUUUAUUGCUUAUAUAUAUAUUUUUGUUUUAUAUUGUAACAGUAACUUUCAGUAGGGUUGAUCCUGGUGGGAAGCUAAUCAUGGGUGCCAGGAAGGCAACUUAUACUGUAGACAUGCAGGGGUGUGGCUUCGCCAACGGUGCCUCGAACGAGGACACGUCAUCUUCUGGCGUUACUGAGAACCUGACCUCCAUAAAUGCUCCCUCUUGUCCGUCGCAGAUGCUUGAAGGUCUGCCUGAGCAUUUGGGGUCGCCUCACGGUGGUAACGGCUUGAAGAAGAGUGAGAUUAACGGAGGCGAUGAUCCGUCGCGUGGUAAGGAGAAGAAGAGGACAAGAACUCUGGGGGCGAAAAACAAGAGACUGCUUUUGCAUAGUGAGGAGUCUAUGGAGCUGAGAGUCACUUGGGAAGAAGCUCAGGAGCUGCUUCGUCCCUCUGCUAAUGCAAAGCCUACCGUUGUUGUCAUCGAGGAGCAUGAGUUCGAGGAGUUUGAGGAACCUCCUGUCUUUGGAAAGAGGACGAUAGUUGUUACUUCAAGACCUUCAGGGUAAAAGUUCUGACUCUUUCUUUCACUUGUCAAGUCAGGCUUACAAGCGGUUUACUAACGGAUAUCUUUGUGAAGCAGUGAACAAGAACGAUGGGGAUCUUGCGACGACUGCUCUAAAUGGAGAAGGUUACCUGUAGACGAUUACAACCGAGAGAGACAAACCAUAUCCUUUCCUAAACCCCGUUGUUGGUAGCUCGCACCGGCGUCAAUCUCGAGCCCCUGAUUCUAUUCCGGAAACAUGGGUCCCUAAGUUUUCAGCAGAAGGCAGUGGAUAUGGUGAUGAUGAACACAACUACAUGAACUGUGUAUCAGCAAACCAUAAAUCUAAACUAGCAGGAGACGUCUGCAGUUUUGGGAGUGAUACGUUAUCAGAGAACGAUAAUGAACAAAGCAAAGAAGUGAAUGAUCCAAAAAAUCAGGGAGAUGAGACCUCAUCAUCCGUUGCAAAGAGCCUCUCAGACGAAAAUGAGUAUGUACGGUAAUCACUUCUCUAUUAAUUCAGACAAUCUGUUCUCCCAUAAUCCAAUGCUUCUGACACAUGGAGAAAUUUUCAUUGUUGUUAGAUGUAACCCGAACAAGGAGGUUGUGAAAGCUCGGCAUCAAGGAGACAGAGGUAAAUUGAAUUUCGUUUCCAAAAAAACUCCAUUUUUCUAUUAUUAGUGGGAUUACAGUAAGCUAACACAUGAAUCUUGGAUAUGAUCAGGAGGAGAAAAGACAAGUAGAGACUCGCACCAACAAAUGAUAAUGCUGGAAAGACGCACGCUCAGUUCGUUUGUUUAAACAAGACAUUGCUCCUUGACUCUUUAAAAACUUAGACUUAGGUAAGAAUUUCAUACUAGUAUUCUUGUGUCUUUUAUUUCAAGUUAUCUCGAAAACUGAAAUACGUAAAUAAAAGUUCAUGUUGCUUGGGCAUAAGGGAAUGUGCAAAUUUGGCAUACUUUUAGUUGAGGGGUUUGAUACGUUCCAUAGGGUCAUAGGCACGAGAGAGAAGCCAAGAAUAAAGAUGGAGGGAAAGAAACAUUCUUGUUGGCUAAAGCUUAGGUGGCAAGGCAAGGCAAAGACUCUAAUGUUAUUAGAGGCUUUGCGGUUUCAGAGUCUUCUCCUUUAAAUACGUCAUCGUUGCAUCUGUUACUGGUUAUGUUGAAUGAUGUUGUAAGUGUGAGACGCCAUGAGUCUCCCUUCAUCACGAUCGCCAUGAGAUCGUGAUUGAAUCUUCAGACACGGAUCGCCAUGAGAUCAUGAUCUGAGAUUCACUUAUUCAGCUUAUCCUUUUAUCCUUUUCGUUUGUAAACGUUGGUUUGAGUCUCAAUAAGAUCGAGAGUUCUUUACGUAUUCGAGAUUGAUUGUGUUGAUACGAGAGUUCCGAGUUACGAACUUAUCAGGGUUACACAGAUGUAAAAAUCAACAAUAUGUUGCCCAUACAGGCGUUUAGUGUUUGCGUUUGCACCUACUCUUAAAUGCAACUGUAUUUGUUAGUCACAUUACUCGCGUUCUGUCUAUACUAUUUUAAGAUGCUUUUGCUGUGGUCCUGUGGAUAAGCGCAAAUACCAUCACAUAAAAAUGUUUUGACCAAAGUUAGUUAGGGAUGAUUUUGCAGUGUGCGUGAUGUGAAAGUUUAAUCUUUUGUACUUUUACAAGGUUCCAAAUAAGUUACUAUAGAUCUAUAGUAAGAUAUUAAGACAGCCUAUAGGGCUUAAUUAUGACAUCUUUGUUCUCAUAAUGGAUAUUGGUGUUAAUAAAGUUAGUACCUUUUCUUUAAAUAUGUUGCAUACUUUAAUUAUAUGGGGGAUAAUGAGAUUCCUUGAUGUUAGUAUUAUAGAUAAACCGUAUACUUUAAAUAACAAGAGAAAAAUUAAUGUCUAUUUGCAAGCUGGGAACGUGAGCCCCAGUUACAGCUUUAUGUUGUGCAUCAGGCAUUAUUGGAGUUUCUAUCACUUGAUUUUAUUUCUUAGAUGCCGUCCUAAAAUGUCAUUGGAUGUUACUUACAUUAACAAUACCCUAAUAAUAUUUGAUUAUACAUAAACAUUAACAACAAACAAAAAUAUUGUGGUUGUUUGUUUCUCAUGUGCAAACAUGUCUGGUACGAGAUAACACUUGCUACGUUAGUCAAGAUUAGCGUGAUGACAACUAUGUCAAGAAGAGCUCUCACAUGGCUAACACAUAAAAAUUAGCCUAAUCAUAUCAAACUUGAGAAAUUAGUUCUUUGAUCCUAAUAUCAUAUAUAUGUAAUUUAAACUAAAUUAUCUUUGGAUUUAAUUUUCAUAGGCUUGGCUGGUUUAUUUAUUAUGAAUAUAUAGGUUAUCCGGGUGCUUCCUGUAAUUUCAACAACUUAAUUAAGUGUUAAGUUUCGAGAUUCGAGAUCAUUAUCAGUUGUAAAAUACUAUGGCAAGACACAGAAGUUAAUAAAAUAUUUUGAUCUUUAUAGUUGUUUCAGAUUUAUAAUCAAAUUGUACUUGUGUGAUGUCAAUAUAAUCUAACGUAGUGGUUCGGAGUUCGGACUAUACAAGUCCGUUUCAUGAAUUAGUUGUGAAUGAAAAGAAUUUAAUACAAGGAUAAGGGGAAAGUGUCAAAGUGGCCCUGGGAUGAUUAUCUAUCUCUCCUGCAUGCUAAAAUCAAGAAGAAUUCCAUAUAUUAUUUAUAUAAGAAAAAAUACAUAUGUAAACAUAGAAAAUCGCAAAAGAGUACAUAUUUUGCUGUCACAAAAAAAAUUCCAUAUAAAAUUAACGAGAACAAGAAAAUAAAAUAUAUUUGUUGCGGACACAGCCACUUGUUUCAUCCGAAUUAAUAUUACUCGUUCUGUCGCUCAACAGGAGUCGUGACUCGUGAAUUGGUGCGCUACUACGAGGUAGAAUGGGGUGAAAACUGAAAAAUAAACGUCGUAGCAUAAAUAGCUAGUGGAAAGCAGAAGCAACAAAGAUUCCAACAAAAAAACACGUGAUUAAAAAACAUCAGUUUAGUGAGAUUUAGAUUUGUUUUUUAUUUAUCAAUAAUUAAAAAAAACAUAGUUACAAAAAAAAUAAUUAAAAAAACAUUUUACUCUAUUUUUCAUGGUAGAGAAGAUAUACAGUACAUGUAUAUGAAUACCCAAAAAGGUGUGUAUUCUAUAAAAAAAAACAGUUAUAUGCAAAAUACUAAUUUCAUCUUCUGAUGAUGGUUUAUUUAGGAUAAUGUGUUAAAAUACAUAGUCGAUCGGAAAUAGGAAUACAAAUCUAGAUUUUUAGAGUAUUAGUCAAUACAAAAAGGUUCACAAGGGAAAACAAGAAGACGUUCAAAGUCUUCUCUGUGUGUGUUCCAUGCAUGGCAUAUUGGCAUUCUAAAAUUUAUGAAUGACCAAAAAGGUUAAAAAGCAUAAACAACUACUGUAAUUAGAAAUUUAUCCCAAUUUGGAAGAGAAAAUAUAUAGAUGAAUAUAUAAUGAGAAUAUAAAAUUACGUCAUGAUAUACACCUAUUAAUCAUGAGUAGUAGGGGAAACAUAUAUAUCUUAUUUUCCAAAAAGUUGAUUCCUACCAACUGUAAAUCAUGUAAAUUAAAAAGUCAAACCAAAGUCUUUCAUCGAAUGUAUGUUAGUUUGGUCAUAAAGCGGCGUGUGCUCUCUCUCAACUCAACUCAAGUGUCGUGCAUGCAUCUCUCUAUCUCUCUCCUCUUUCUCUUUUGCAUGCUCUAAUCCUUUCCUUCUCUCUCUAUCUCACCCAUAGUUUUAAUUUCACAUCGAAAAAUUAAAAGAAAAAACAAAACAAAAAAACAAAAAAUUCACCGAAGAAAAACCUCGCUGCCUCCUUCUCUUCGCCGUCACAGUCCUCUCUCUCUCCUUCUUCUUCUUCUCGCCGUGGUUUUCACUCAACCUCCUCCUCCUCUGAUCUUUAACGCGACUUGGAUUGACCACGUCGAUAUGCAUGUUCAUGACUAGUCUCUCCUCCAAUUCACGUCGAUUCCACCUCCGAUUCGUCUUUCCCUUCCUCUUAGGGUUUUGAGAUUUGGAAAAAUCUUGAGUUGAGAGGAUGUUUGAAGUCAAAAUGGGGUCAAAGGUGUGCAUGAACGCGUCUUGUGGCUCGACCUCUAGUGUCGAAUGGAAGAAAGGCUGGCCUCUUCGAUCUGGUGCCCUCGCUGACCUCUGCUUUCGCUGCGGGUACCUCGCUGAGUCUUCUUGUUCUUUUACUACGUAUAUGUUUUCUUAAAUUCAUAAUUAACUCAAUAUUAAUACAUGAUUUAACUUUUUGAUUUUGUAAUGAUUGUGGGCUAUAGAUCGGCUUACGAGACGUCUCGGUUCUGCGAAACAUUCCAUAUGGAGCAAUCUGGUUGGAGGGAAUGCUAUUUGUGCAACAAGGUUUGUUUUUAAAAUCUCUAUCUGUUUUUAUUUUUUUAUUUUUGCUCUGCAAUGUUUGGUUUGAUUGAGAUUGUGUAAUGAUGACAGAGACUUCACUGUGGAUGCAUUGCCUCUAAGCUCGUGGUUGAGUUUAUGGACUACGGUGGCGUUGGUUGUUCCACCUGUACUAACUCCCAUGUGAGUUUGUUGUUGUUGUUGUUGUUCGGAUGACUCUAUCUUCUUCUGCGUCUUAACGAUUAUCUUUUCUUUGCAGAGCAAGAGAGGUGAGAAUCCAGGUGUGUUUAGCAGAUUGCCUAUGAAUAUGCAACAAACAAACGGAGAAAGUGGAAUGAGCAUUGACGGAGUAGUAAGAAGCGAAGCUAAUCUCUUCUCUCAGCCACUAGUCUCUGGGGAUGACAAAAGAGAAGAGUUCACGCCUCACCGUGGCUUUGGCAAUCUCAUGAAACAAGAUAACAAUGUCACCACCACUGGGUAUACGCACGAAUCAUCAUCAUCAUCCCCUGCACAGCCUUCUUUGAAUAUGGCUUUGGCAACACUUCCUUACAGCCCAUCUUUUGCAACCCCCGUCGUAGACGGGAAUAAACUCAUGGGUGCUGGUGGUGGUGGUGUUGCUUCUUCUCAGUCUCACCUUUUCCAAUGCUCAGCGUCUAGUAUACUCCAAAAGCCUUCAAAAUCUGUUCUUGGAACUCCUCCUCCUGGGACUAGCAAAUCCGCUCAGGCCCGGAUCGGUAGGCCUCCUGUUGAAGGGCGUGGCAAAGGCCAUUUGCUUCCUCGGUAUUGGCCUAAGUAUACUGAUAAAGAGCUUCAGCAAAUCUCCGGAAAGUAUCCUUUUCCUGCUUAUUUUCCUUGCCAAACAUUUUAUUUUAGAGACUUCAUGUUUUUCCUUAACAGUUUCUUUUUAGUUUAAAUUUAAACAUUGUUCCUCUCUUUGAGAAAACUCUUAGUGCCAGUGACGCCGGUCGCAUCGGUCGCCUAGUCCUUCCAAAAGCCUGUGCAGAGGCAUACUUUCCUCCCAUUAGUCAAUCAGAAGGCAUACCUCUAAAAGUCCAAGACGUGAGGGGGAAGGAGUGGACCUUCCAGUUCAGAUUCUGGCCCAAUAACAACAGUAGAAUGUAUGUCUUGGAAGGUGUCACUCCCUGCAUACAGUCCAUGAGGCUACAAGCUGG
RNAcentral lists this long non-coding RNA (6333 nucleotides) under Brassica napus (rape). RNAcentral describes it as "long non-coding RNA (BNAP_LNC004133)". Lineage: Eukaryota; Viridiplantae; Streptophyta; Magnoliopsida; Brassicales; Brassicaceae. The record is from RNAcentral.